GCAGUCGAACGCACUCUCGUUUAGAUUGAAGGAGCUUGCUCCUGAUUGAUAAACAUUUGAGUGAGUGGCGGACGGGUGAGUAACACGUGGGUAACCUGCCCUAAAGUGGGGGAUAACAUUUGGAAACAGAUGCUAAUACCGCAUAAAACCUAACACCGCAUGGUGUAGGGUUGAAAGAUGGUUUCGGCUAUCACUUUAGGAUGGACCCGCGGUGCAUUAGUUAGUUGGUGAGGUAAAGGCUCACCAAGACCGUGAUGCAUAGCCGACCUGAGAGGGUAAUCGGCCACACUGGGACUGAGACACGGCCCAGACUCCUACGGGAGGCAGCAGUAGGGAAUCUUCCACAAUGGACGAAAGUCUGAUGGAGCAACGCCGCGUGAGUGAAGAAGGUUUUCGGAUCGUAAAACUCUGUUGUUGGAGAAGAAUGUAUCUGAUAGUAACUGAUCAGGUAGUGACGGUAUCCAACCAGAAAGCCACGGCUAACUACGUGCCAGCAGCCGCGGUAAUACGUAGGUGGCAAGCGUUGUCCGGAUUUAUUGGGCGUAAAGCGAGCGCAGGCGGUUUCUUAAGUCUGAUGUGAAAGCCUUCGGCUCAACCGAAGAAGUGCAUCGGAAACUGGGAAACUUGAGUGCAGAAGAGGACAGUGGAACUCCAUGUGUAG
This 661-nucleotide ribosomal RNA is filed under the name Latilactobacillus sakei subsp. carnosus. RNAcentral describes it as "bacterial SSU rRNA". It matches the Rfam family "Bacterial small subunit ribosomal RNA", at positions 57 to 678 of the family's 1533-position model. Lineage: Bacteria; Bacillati; Bacillota; Bacilli; Lactobacillales; Lactobacillaceae. The record is from RNAcentral.